Molecule: ribosomal RNA, 431 nt
Filed under: uncultured bacterium
Lineage: Bacteria
Description: partial 16S ribosomal RNA
Rfam family: Bacterial small subunit ribosomal RNA
Source: RNAcentral
AACGAACGCUGGCGGCAGGCCUAACACAUGCAAGUCGAGCGCCCUUUCGGGGGUGCGGCGGACGGGUGAGUAACGCGUGGGAAUAUGCCCUUCUCUACGGCAUAGCCUCGGGAAACUGAGAGUAAUACCGUAUACGCCCUGUGGGGGAAAGAUUUAUCGGGGAAGGAUUAGCCCGCGUUGGAUUAGGUAGUUGGUGGGGUAAUGGCCUACCAAGCCGACGAUCCAUAGCUGGUUUGAGAGGAUGAUCAGCCACACUGGGACUGAGACACGGCCCAGACUCCUACGGGAGGCAGCAGUGGGGAAUCUUAGACAAUGGGGGCAACCCUGAUCUAGCCAUGCCGCGUGAGUGAUGAAGGCCUUAGGGUUGUAAAGCUCUUUCAGCUGGGAAGAUAAUGACGGUACCAGCAGAAGAAGCCCCGGCUAACUCCGUG